Molecule: ribosomal RNA, 793 nt
Filed under: uncultured bacterium
Lineage: Bacteria
Description: bacterial SSU rRNA
Rfam family: Bacterial small subunit ribosomal RNA
Source: RNAcentral
AGAGUUUGAUCAUGGCUCAGGAUGAACGCUAGCGGCAGGCUUAAUACAUGCAAGUCGAGGGGCAGCAUGGUGUAGCAAUACACUGAUGGCGACCGGCAAACGGGUGCGGAACACGUACAGAACCUUCCUUCGAGCGGGGAAUAGCCCAGAGAAAUUUGGAUUAAUACCCCAUAGUACAUUGAGGCGGCAUCGUUUUAAUGUUAAAGAUUUAUCACUUGAAGAUGGCUGUGCGGCUGAUUAGGUAGUUGGCGGGGUAACGGCCCACUAAGCCUGCGAUCAGUAACUGGUGUGAGAGCACGACCAGUCACACGGGCACUGAGACACGGGCCCGACUCCUACGGGAGGCAGCAGUAAGGAAUAUUGGUCAAUGGACGAAAGUCUGAACCAGCCAUGCCGCGUGGAGGAUGAAGGUCCUCUGGAUUGUAAACUUCUUUUAUAUGGGACGAAAAAAGGGCUUUCUAGCUCGUCUGACGGUACCAUAUGAAUAAGCACCGGCUAACUCCGUGCCAGCAGCCGCGGUAAUACGGAGGGUGCAAGCGUUAUCCGGAUUCACUGGGUUUAAAGGGUGCGUAGGUGGGUUGGUAAGUCAGUGGUGAAAUCCCCGAGCUUAACUUGGGAACUGCCAUUGAUACUAUCAGUCUUGAAUACCGUGGAGGUCAGCGGAAUAUGUCAUGUAGCGGUGAAAUGCUUAGAUAUGACAUAGAACACCAAUUGCGAAGGCAGCUGGCUACUCGGAUAUUGACACUGAGGCACGAAAGCGUGGGGAUCAAACAGGAUUAGAUACCCCGGUAGU